Molecule: non-coding RNA, 1794 nt
Organism: Cherax quadricarinatus
Lineage: Eukaryota; Metazoa; Arthropoda; Malacostraca; Decapoda; Parastacidae
Source: RefSeq, a predicted model, not a curated record
UUUUGAAGGUGUUCAAAGGUGUUUUGAGGUUAUUCAAAGGUGUUUUGAGUGUGUUCAAAUGGUUAUGAGAGUGUUUUGAAGGUGUUCAAAGGUGUUUUGAAGGUGUUCAAAGGUGUUUUGAAGGUGUUGAAGGGUGUUUUGAUUGAAUUCAGCGGUGUUUUAGUAGUAUUCAGUGGUGUAAUUGGGAGUACUCAAAUUGUGUUUUUUUGGAAGUGUUUCAGUGUUGAUUGGAAAUGUUCAAAGGUGUUUUUGAAGGUGUUCAAGAGUGUUUUGAAGGUGUUCAAGGGUGUUUGAAGGUGUUGAAGGGUGUUUUGAUUGAAUUCAGCGGUGUUUUAGUAGUAAUCAGUGGUGUAAUUGGGAGUACUCAAAUAGUGUUUUUGGAAAUGUUCAAAGGUGUUCAAAGGUGUUUUGAAGGUGUUGAAGGGUGUUUUGAUUGAAUUCAGCGGUGUUUUAGUAGUAUUCAGUGGUGUAAUUGGGAGUACUCAAAUGGUGUUUUUGGAAGUGUUUCAGUGUUGUUUGGAAAUGUUCAAAGGUGUUCAAAGGUGUUCAAAGGUGUUUUGAGUGUGUUCAAAUGUUGUUUUUUUGAAGGUGAUCAAGGGUGUUCAAGGGUUUUUUGAAGGUGUUCAAAGGUGUUUGAGGGUUAAAUUUAAAGGUGUUUUGAAGGUGUUCAAGGGUGUUUAUGUGAGUAUUCAAAGGUGUUUUUUGAAGGUGUACAAAUGAUUAUGAGAGUACUUAUGAAGGUGUUCAAAUGAUGUUUUUUGAAGGUGUUCAAGGGUGUUUUGAAGGUGUUCAAGGGUGUUUUGAAGGUGUUCAAAGGUGUUUUGAGGUUAUUCAAAGGUGUUUUGAAGGUGUUCAAGGGUGUUUAUGUGAGUAUUCAAAGGUGUUUUGAGGUUAUUCAAAGGUGUUUUGAAGGUGUUCAAGGGUGUUUAUGUGAGUAUUCAAAGGUGUUUUUUGAAGGUGUACAAAUGAUUAUGAGAGUACUUAUGAAGGUGUUCAAAUGAUGUUUUUUGAAGGUGUUCAAGGGUGUUUUGAAGGUGUUCAAGGGUGUUUUGAAGGUGUUCAAAGGUGUUUUGAGGUUAUUCAAAGGUGUUUUGAAGGUGUUCAAGGGUGUUUAUGUGAGUAUUCAAAGGUGUUUUGAGGUUAUUCAAAGGUGUUUUGAAGGUGUUCAAGGGUGUUUAUGUGAGUAUUCAAAGGUGUUUUUUGAAGGUGUACAAAUGAUUAUGAGAGUACUUAUGAAGGUGUUCAAAUGAUGUGCAAGAGUACUUAUGAAGGUGUUCUGGGAGUAUUCAGAGGUGAUUUGGGGGUGUUCGAAUGAUGUUUUGGAGUAUUUCAGUGUUGUUUGGAAAUGUAUAAAGGUAUUUUUUUGUGAGUAUUCAAAUGAUUUAUGAGUGUUUUGAAGAUGUUCAAAGUAAAAGUGCGUAUUUAACUUCGUAAUAUGUAAAAUUGUGAGUAGUGAAUUUAACGAAAGUGGAUGUAAGCGAUGUGGUGACUUUCUGAUGCACUGUGGCCCCUUAUUAACUUUAAUGAACUAAAAGGGUUAAAACGAGAAAAAUUGGGGGUUAUGAGUGAAAAUUGUGAGGUGUUGGUUGGAGUGUGAGGGUUUGGGAGGGUGGGGAGGAGGUUACUUCGUGGGGAGUGACCUGAGAUGAAAUAGUUAAAAAAAAUGUCUAGACUUGUGUUGUAAAGAAAAUGUGAGUAUUAACGAAAAAAUGUGCCUUUCUGAUGUAUUGUGUCCCCUUAUUAACUUGAAAUGAACUAAAAGGAUCGACAAGAUUCAGCCUGUGUGCGCGUGAC